CUAGCUCGUGGAGGGUGGGGAGGGCUGCCCGAAACACACACACAGAGCUCAGAACGCAUGCGGCCCUGAGGGCGUGUGGAUAAAUGGCUACUUUGCUAUCACCCACAGAGCCUUCAAGGGCAGGGUGUCAGGCAUCCAGGGAAAGGGAAGACACUUCCACCAACUGGCGAGCCCACACUGCCACAGCAGAGAGCCAAGAGGGCCUUUGAGACUCAAACGGAGAGGCAAACGUGGAUCCCUUACCUGCUCACUGGAGAAUCCAAAGGCUUCGCUACAGCAGAGAAGCCCUGUGCGUGGCUGGGCUGAGCUUUGGUGCCACGGUCCCAUGUCUGAAGCCUGGAGUGGCCACAGGGCACUUCUGAUCUCCUCACAGGCCUCAGUUUCUUCAUCAGUGAAACCAGCGUGGAUAAGAAUGGUGUUACCUGCAGAGAUGUUGGGCUCAGAGAUGGGCAAGAUCAUGGAAGCAGAGCAUUAGCCCCUAGGAUGUUGGGUGUGUGUUUGCUGCUGUUACAACGGCUGCGGGUAGGUGAACCCAUUUGUGUAAAGUUCAGCUGGAAUUGAGCAACUCUGUUUUGGUCAUGAUCAGCAAUCCUGCUCCAAAACACAUGGCUCCCACCUGGGUACCUCCCCUCCCUUCCUCUGGCACUGAGGGCUGCCAAGGUCAGGGGUUUCAGAAGGUGGCAGGGAGAAUCAGCAGAGCCUCCACUGCCGUCAGCCAGCACCGCCCUGCAUCCAAACGACACAAGCAGUGGUAAGGCCUCCUGGGUGGGUCAGCUGGCAAGGAGCCCUGCCCUUGCUGUGGGCUCUGGGGGCGGCCACAGCCACUCUACAGC
Molecule: long non-coding RNA, 833 nt
Filed under: Pan troglodytes (chimpanzee)
Lineage: Eukaryota; Metazoa; Chordata; Mammalia; Primates; Hominidae
Description: long non-coding RNA NONPTRT007653
Source: RNAcentral